RNAcentral lists this ribosomal RNA (426 nucleotides) under uncultured bacterium. Its description in RNAcentral is "bacterial SSU rRNA". It matches the Rfam family "Bacterial small subunit ribosomal RNA", at positions 354 to 796 of the family's 1533-position model. The record is from RNAcentral.
GUGAGGAAUUUUCCGCAAUGGGCGAAAGCCUGACGGAGCAAUGCCGCGUGAAGGAUGAAGGCCUAUGGGUUGUAAACUUCUUUUCUCAGAAAAGAAUUAUGACGGUAUCUGAGGAAUAAGCAUCGGCUAACUCUGUGCCAGCAGCCGCGGUAAGACAGAGGAUGCAAGCGUUAUCCGGAAUGAUUGGGCGUAAAGCGUCUGUAGGUUGUUUAAAAAGUAUUCUGUCAAAGAUUAGGGCUUAAACCUAGAUAGGCAGAAUAAACUUUUAAGCUAGAGUUUGGUAGAGGAAGACGUAAUUCCCGGUGGAGCGGUGAAAUGCGUAGAUAUCGGGAGGAACACCACAGGCGAAGGCACUCUGCUGGGCCAAUACUAACACUGAGAGACGAAAGCGAGGGGAGCAAAUGGGAUUAGAAACCCUAGUAGUCC